UACGUAGGUGGCAAGCGUUGUCCGGAUUUACUGGGCGUAAAGGGCGCGUAGGUGGCCUUCUAAGUUGAACGUGAAAUCCCUGGGCUCAACCCAGGAACUGCGUCCAAGACUGGGAGGCUUGAAUCCGGGAGAGGGAUGCGGAAUUCCAGGUGUAGCGGUGAAAUGCGUAGAUAUCUGGAGGAACACCGGUGGCGAAGGCGGCAUCCUGGACCGGUAUUGACACUGAGGCGCGAAAGCCAGGGGAGCAAACGGG
Molecule: ribosomal RNA, 253 nt
Filed under: uncultured bacterium
Lineage: Bacteria
Description: partial 16S ribosomal RNA
Rfam family: Bacterial small subunit ribosomal RNA
Source: RNAcentral